This 499-nucleotide unclassified non-coding RNA is filed under the name Hevea brasiliensis (rubber tree). The record is from RNAcentral. Lineage: Eukaryota; Viridiplantae; Streptophyta; Magnoliopsida; Malpighiales; Euphorbiaceae.
UGGUUGUUGAUGAACGCUUGUGCGUAGCUGCUGCAACAAGAUUGAAGAUUCAUCUUAAGACCCACAAGGAUAACAUUUCUAAUUUUGAGAUGGAUUGUAUUAAGACUUUAAUUGUCUGCCUUCGGAUCUGCAUAUCUCCAGAUUUUUUCAUCAUCCAGAGGAAUCUCGAUGGAGCCCUCACGUUCUUGCUUAGCCACGAUUCCUCUUGGCACCAGCCACUUGUGGAGCUUAUUCUGAAACUCCAAAACGAGGGUCUUCAUACUGCUCAUACACAACCAAUUAUUCAUACUUCCAACUCUAUCAUAUGGAAGUUGAAUGAUAAGCUACAUUGACAGGAUCGAUCCUUUUAUGAUGAAGUCUUUUGUUUUCAAAAGAAUAGUGCUGCUUCCGUUAUAGAAAUCUCUAACCAAGCGGCUCUGCAAAUUGAUUCCUUUCUGUCAAUGUCCGCCCAUGAUGCCUCUGCAGAUGCUCUUAGAUCGCUUUUGGACAAGGAGUGGCC